Homo sapiens (human) is the source of this 245-nucleotide long non-coding RNA. RefSeq lists it as uncharacterized. The record is from RefSeq and is a predicted model, not a curated record. NCBI's taxonomy places the organism in Eukaryota, Metazoa, Chordata, Mammalia, Primates, Hominidae. The transcript has 3 exons.
CUGAGAUGGCCCCCAGUGAAGGCUGGCUAACUUCCAUUUGUCUGCUUGGUUGUUCAGUGCCACCUCAGGGGCAGAUCACUGCCACCACUUGAUCUAGCUGAAGUAGUUCUAGCUGGAAGAAUAGAGAAUUAAAAGAAAUCUUUGUGAAGCCACCACUCAGACACUGCCACAAUGAACAUCCUGGGUCAUCUCUCUCUGGUCCCCUGUGUGAGUUCCCCAAGAUAUGGAUGUAGGAAUGGGAUUAC